Molecule: RNA transcript, 2116 nt
Organism: Lemur catta (Ring-tailed lemur)
Lineage: Eukaryota; Metazoa; Chordata; Mammalia; Primates; Lemuridae
Exons: 1
Source: RefSeq, a predicted model, not a curated record
AUGACCCAGCCCACGCAGAGACUGCGCUGCGGUCCCUCCCCUAGCCCGAGGCCCGUGGGGGGCUCCUCGGGGGACAGUCUCAGUUUCGUGCCGUUAUUUAAAGAAUCUCUCCACGUUUUUGUAUUGGGAGGCACCAUCGGCACUUCCUCCUCCCCCUCCCCCAGUGCCAAGAAGGUGUUGGACGAGCCCGCCCUCCCCCGCCGGUGCCCCUCCUCCCCGGCCAAGGCGCCUGGACCUGGCGAGGACGCUGCCAGCCGAGCGGACUGAUUAACCAGUCUGUACAUAGUGUAUAUUGCUCUAACCAACCGCACACCUCGUCCUGCUCUGGCUUUUGCCUCCUUAACACCAACCUGCUGCGACGGACCCGCCCCAGCCCCCUCCCAGUCCCAUCUCACUGCCAGCAGCUUCCUGCGGAGACGGCAUCGAGCUCUUGGCUGCGUCGCCGGCCGCCCUGGGCUGGUGAAGUGGGCUCCGUGUUGCCUGUUCUCUCCUCCAGGCCGUCGACUUCUGUCCCCGGCACACAGGGUCUUGGCCUCGGUGGGGCCCCUGCUGGCUCUCGUCCCUCCCCAUUGUCCUCUGGGAGCUGGGGACACGGCCUCAAGGCAGGCCCCAGCCCUGCGGUUCCCCAGAGGCAGCCAGUCCUGCCCUUUGGCCAACAGAUUUCUUCUCCUGCCUUCUAGAUGCCUCUGAGCUGCAAACCCAGGGGAGUCAUGGCUUCUAAUUUAUACCAACAUGUUUCAGUUCCGACAGAAAGGUAGGGGUGUGUCUGUACAGAGAUGGGGCUUGCAGGGGGCUGUGGAAGCGUUAUUUUAACAGAUAAAGUGAAGCCAAAUCAAAUGAAUUAAGCUCCUCACAAUUAUUUUCUUUCCCUGAAGUUUGACUGGCACAGCACUAAAAGUUGUGGCCACCUCACUUUGGGUCCAGUGUUUUUAGAAAGAGCGAAAGGCUUCCUGUCAUUGUGGGACCAGGCUCUCGGCUGUUUCUUGGUGGGAACGGAGAAGGGGCUCCCCCUGGAGCUUGAGUCUCUGAUGCAGCCCCAGGCAUCUGUGGACCUGGGGCAGGGGUGCCAGGGGCUGCUGGGCUGUGGGGACGACACCCCUGGGCCGGGACGGCAGGCAGCCUCGGACCACUGACAGAACAGUCGUAGCGCAGAGGUGGCAGGAGGAUUUGUUAGCGGGUGGAAAGGAGUGGUUGGGGACCUGGGGGAAGGCAGUUGUGACCCACCUCAGCCCCUGGAGAAAAAACCAGGGUCCUCUGCACUUGAUUACUGCCCCCUCAGCCCGGACCCUUCGCUCCCCUUUCCCCUAGAAGGAUCAAGUAACUGGGAAGAAUUUAUUUCACCACCAUGGUGUGUUUUAUUAGAUUUCCUUUCCUAGGCAAUUUCCAGGCAAAGCCCUGAUUGGACAAUCACAUCACUGAUCACACUGCAGAUUUUCCAUGUUAACACUGUGGAGGGUUUUUAAUCAAUAAAACUGGGGGUUUCUUCUCACCUGGGGGUUUCCUCUCUCCAAACUGCCAGAAGCCGGUGGUUCCGCGUGGCAGGCUUCACGCUGGGGCCACGGGAUGGGGCCGGGAGCUCGAUGGGCCUAGAAAGGGCAGGGCGGGGGAUGGAAAGGGACAGGCAGCCCCCUCUGGUCUGAGGAGCCAGGAGCAGAAGCGGGGGCUCUGUCCUCAGGACUGUCCUGGCUGCCCAUGGCCCCAUGGGGAUGCUCGGCACCCGGGCUCCUGUGCUGGUGAGCGGGGGGCACACUCGCCCUGAGUAUCCAGGUGAGGCUGGCGCAGGGGUGCUUGUGAAUUCAAGCAAUAAGAGGGGUGUCUUGGGAGCUUCCAGCCGGGCUAGAGGCACCCGUGGCUUCUGGCAGCUGGACCUGCAGCCCAGGUGCUGGGGGGAUCUUGGCGACGACGCUGUGCCUGUCCCACUGAGUGUUACACGCAUGAACGGGGGGUGCGGGUGGGGGUGGGGGACUCAGGGCUGAACCGAUGUCCUAGUGGACCUGAUGUGAAAUUCUGUCAAAACUUUUCAAUGGUUUGCUAGGAUUAUUUCUGUAUUGAAAGUUUCUAAUUAUGCUUUUUAAAAAAAAAAUACUAAAAAUAAAGGUUCAAGCUGCCAAAUUUU